Brassica napus (rape) is the source of this 107-nucleotide non-coding RNA. NCBI's taxonomy places the organism in Eukaryota, Viridiplantae, Streptophyta, Magnoliopsida, Brassicales, Brassicaceae. The record is from Rfam.
AAACCAUGGUGUGGGCAUUGAGCUUGGUAGCCCUUGAAUCUCUCCCAGGCUUCACUGAAUCCUUCCAAGUUCUUCUGUUGAAAGCUGGAAAUCUCAUUUCUCAGCUU